This 1339-nucleotide ribosomal RNA is filed under the name metagenome. Its description in RNAcentral is "bacterial LSU rRNA". It matches the Rfam family "Bacterial large subunit ribosomal RNA", at positions 1573 to 2925 of the family's 2925-position model. The record is from RNAcentral.
GCGGCUACGGCCGCGAAGUGGAUGAUGUCAAGCUUCCAAGAAAAGCCCUAUACCCGUUAAGGCAUGAUGGCCUGUACCCGAAACCGACACAGGUGGGGUGGUAGAGAAUACCGAGGGGCGCGAGGUAACUCUCUCUAAGGAACUCGGCAAAAUGGCCCCGUAACUUCGGGAGAAGGGGUGCCACCGCGAGGUGGUCGCAGUGAAGAGGCCCAGGCGACUGUUUACCAAAAACACAGGUCUCCGCUAAGUCGCAAGACGAUGUAUGGGGGCUGACGCCUGCCCAGUGCCGGAAGGUUAAGGAAGCUGGUCAGCGCAAGCGAAGCUGGCGACUGAAGCCCCGGUGAACGGCGGCCGUAACGAUAACGGUCCUAAGGUAGCGAAAUUCCUUGUCGGGUAAGUUCCGACCCGCACGAAAGGCGUAACGAUCUGGGCGCUGUCUCGGAGAGAGGCUCGGCGAAAUAGAAUUGUCUGUGAAGAUGCGGACUACGUGCACCCGGACAGAAAGACCCUAUGAAGCUUUACUGUAGCUUGGUAUUGUGCUCGGGCUCGGAAUGCGCAGGAUAGGUGGGAGGCUUUGAUCCAUUGCUUGCGGGUGAUGGUGAGCCACUGGUGAGAUACCACUCUUUCCGAGCUAGAGUUCUAACAGCAACCCGUUAUCCGGGUGCUGGACAGUAUCAGGUGGGCAGUUUGACUGGGGCGGUCGCCUCCUAAAAGGUAACGGAGGCGCGCAAAGGUCUGCUCAGGCUGGUUGGAAAUCAGCCGACGAGUGUAAAAGCAGAAGCAGGCUUGACUGUGAGACCUACAAGUCGAACAGGGAGGAAACUCGGCUUUAGUGAUCCGACGGUUCUGCGUGGAAGGGCCGUCGCUCAACGGAUAAAAGUUACUCUAGGAUAACAGGCUGAUCUCCCCCAAGAGUUCACAUCGACGGGGAGGUUUGGCACCUCGAUGUCGGCUCAUCGCAACCUGGGGCUGAAGUCGGUCCCAAGGGUUGGGCUGUUCGCCCAUUAAAGCGGUACGCGAGCUGGGUUCAGAACGUCGUGAGACAGUUCGGUCCAUAUCCGGUGCACGCGCAGGAAUAUUGAGGGGAUUUCUCCCUAGUACGAGAGGACCGGGAGGAACGCACCUCUGGUGUGCCAGUUAUCGUGCCAACGGUAAACGCUGGGUAGCCAUGUGCGGAGUGGAUAACCGCUGAAAGCAUCUAAGUGGGAAGCCCACCUCAAGAUGAGUAUUCCCAUGGCAUAAGCCAGUAAGGUCACGGGAAGAACACCCGUUGAUAGGCUCUACGUGGAAGCGCAGUAAUGUGUGAAGCGGAGGAGUACUAAUAGACCGAGGGCUUGAC